RNAcentral lists this ribosomal RNA (373 nucleotides) under uncultured bacterium. RNAcentral describes it as "bacterial SSU rRNA". It matches the Rfam family "Bacterial small subunit ribosomal RNA", at positions 525 to 896 of the family's 1533-position model. The record is from RNAcentral.
ACGGAGGGUGCAAGCGUUGUUCGGAAUUACUGGGCGUAAAGCGCGCGCAGGCGGUUUGUUAAGUCAGAUGUGAAAGCCCAUGGCUCAACCAUGGACGUGCAUUUGAAACUGGCAAGCUUGAGUAGUGGAGGGGGUGGUGGAAUUCCCGGUGUAGAGGUGAAAUUCGUAGAUAUCGGGAGGAAUACCGGUGGCGAAGGCGACCACCUGGCCACAUACUGACGCUGAGGCGCGAAAGCGUGGGGAGCAAACAGGAUUAGAUACCCUGGUAGUCCACGCCGUAAACGAUGUCAACUAGGUGUUGGGACGGUUAAUCGUCUCAUUGCCGCAGCUAACGCAUUAAGUUGACCGCCUGGGGAGUACGGUCGCAAGAUUA